UGUACACAUACCAAGUUUUUUUAGUGAAAAAAAUGUAAGUAUUCCACAACUUAUUUCUGUUAAAGAGCCGCUUCACAACCAGCACUAAACACUGACAGCAGGAUGUCCCUUCUAUAGAACCCCCUUUGCUGGAGACACACGGUACUAACAAUCUGGGGGAGUUCAGUUACAGCGCCGAAUCCUGAUCCUGGACCCGGAGGGAAGCCCUCAACAGUCUCCUCUCAUUACAGCCAGGUGUCUAGACUUCUGGAGAAGUUCAGUGCUAUGCCCAAACUAGCAACAGACACAGUCCACAGUGGAGCUUCAUCCCAUGACUUCUUUACCUACAACCUACCCUGUAGAUAAUGUUUCCAGGGACACGUGACACAUCCAUGAAUCACUGUGCACAGCGUGGGACUAGAAAGGGUGUCCUGGAGACUACAUGAAGGUAAUAAUGAUCAUGACUUCAGCAGGCAGACAAGACGGUGGCAGCAGUGUUGCAAAACCGGGUGGCUACAGACGGCAUGACACUGAAGUCUGAGAGAAGACAAGCUGUCGGAAACAAGGCAGGGGAGCAAGGUAAAUGGUGCUGCCUGUAGUCCCUGAUGUUCAGGGACUAGGAAACAGGCUCUCAAAGCAAGGGAAGAAGAGGAAGAGGAAAAAUUACAGACCUGAAGGACAAUUUGUCUUACCAAGGUAAGGAUAUAUCAGAUGAGAACUAUGGAUGGGACAAACUGGUUUCCAAACUAGCUACAAGCAGCUGUUGUGAACCACAGAGAAUACUCAGAGCUCCUCAGGACCAUUUCCCAGGGUAAACUCUGUAGUCUCCCUCAACAUAAAUUUCUAGCGGACAUUACUGGGACCCAUUCACAAGAUGAUAUAGAUCUCAAACCUUAUAAAUAUGCUAAUUUUCUCUUCCCAAA
Peromyscus eremicus (cactus mouse) is the source of this 902-nucleotide long non-coding RNA. RefSeq lists it as uncharacterized. NCBI's taxonomy places the organism in Eukaryota, Metazoa, Chordata, Mammalia, Rodentia, Cricetidae. The transcript has 2 exons. The record is from RefSeq and is a predicted model, not a curated record.